Hyaena hyaena (striped hyena) is the source of this 406-nucleotide long non-coding RNA. RefSeq lists it as uncharacterized. The record is from RefSeq and is a predicted model, not a curated record. The transcript is spliced from 2 exons. NCBI's taxonomy places the organism in Eukaryota, Metazoa, Chordata, Mammalia, Carnivora, Hyaenidae.
UGUGGGGGACACAGUUUUACCUGGGAAUCUGGGCCAGGAUUGAAUGAAAACCCGUCUUCCAGGCCCAAGGGGUCAGGGUGGCCAUUUCGAUGCCUCCUUUAUGUUUUAACUACAUUUGUGCACUAUCCUGAACUUCCCGGCAUGAACGUGCCCAGAGCCUGUGUCUCCAGCUUUGCCCUCCUGGUCCCGUCACAGAGCGUCAGGGCCACCGGAGGGGGAUUACAACCUGCUCAGGCUGCUGCCACCGGCGCCGGUGACAGCCCCAGGGAGAGCUCCCCUUCCAGCGGGGAAUCGCGGCCCCGGGUCUCUCUCUGGCAUCGCGGUGUGCGCCGCCCCGCCUGCAGCAGCUUCGCGAUGAGUCAGAAUAAAUUAGCAUGCUAACGACGGAGAACAUGCACAGGAACCA